Molecule: long non-coding RNA, 128 nt
Organism: Etheostoma cragini (Arkansas darter)
Lineage: Eukaryota; Metazoa; Chordata; Actinopteri; Perciformes; Percidae
Exons: 3
Source: RefSeq, a predicted model, not a curated record
AGACUUUUUGGAUUAAAAUUACUGCAACAAAUAUUAUUUAUUGUAAUUACUGCAGGUGUUGAUUGUGAAUUUAGGUUUGCAGGCAGCUGGACUGCUUGAGAAAUUAAAUGUUUUUUUCAAUUCUGAAA